This 304-nucleotide unclassified non-coding RNA is filed under the name plant metagenome. RNAcentral describes it as "partial contains 5.8S ribosomal RNA, internal transcribed spacer 2, and large subunit ribosomal RNA". The stretch from base 1 to 105 matches the Rfam family "5.8S ribosomal RNA", at positions 50 to 154 of the family's 154-position model. The record is from RNAcentral.
GAAAUGCGAUAAGUAAUGUGAAUUGCAGAAUUCCGUGAAUCAUCGAAUCUUUGAACGCACAUUGCGCCCCCUGGCAUUCCGGGGGGCAUGCCUGUCCGAGCGUCAUUUCUGCCCUCAAGCACGGCUUGUGUGUUGGGUGUGGUCCCCCCGGGGACCUGCCCGAAAGGCAGCGGCGACGUCCGUCUGGUCCUCGAGCGUAUGGGGCUCUGUCACUCGCUCGGGAUGGACCUGCGGGGGUUGGUCACCACCAUAUUUCACCACGGUUGACCUCGGAUCAGGUAGGAGUUACCCGCUGAACUUAAGC